UUUAUGGAGAGUUUGAUCCUGGCUCAGGACGAACGCUGGCGGCGUGCCUAACACAUGCAAGUCGAACGGUUUUCGAGGUUCGACAUUCGAGGUUCGAAGUUCGAGUAAAAGCAAAUCGAACUUCGAAUUUCGAACGUCGAACUUCGAGAAUAGUGGCGCACGGGUGAGUAACGCGUGGAUAACCUGCCUGGUAGACCGGGAUAACAGCUGGAAACGGCUGCUAAUACCGGAUACGCUCUGGCUGUCGCAUGACAGUGAGAGGAAAGAAAUAUCGCUAUCAGAUGGGUCCGCGUCCCAUUAGCUGGUUGGUGGUGUAAGAGACCACCAAGGCGACGAUGGGUAGCCGGCCUGAGAGGGCGACCGGCCACACUGGGACUGAGACACGGCCCAGACUCCUACGGGAGGCAGCAGUGGGGAAUCUUCCGCAAUGGGCGAAAGCCUGACGGAGCAACGCCGCGUGAGGGAAGAAGGCCUUCGGGUUGUAAACCUCUGUCUUCAAGGAAGAAUAGAUGACGGUACUUGGAGAGGAAGCCCCGGCUAACUACGUGCCAGCAGCCGCGGUAAAACGUAGGGGGCGAGCGUUGUCCGGAAUUACUGGGCGUAAAGGGCGCGUAGGUGGUUCAUUAAGUCAGAGGUGAAAGUUCGGGGCUCAACCCCGUGAUUGCCUCUGAUACUGGUGGACUUGAGUGCAGGAGAGGGGAGCGGAAUUCCCAGUGUAGCGGUGAAAUGCGUAGAUAUUGGGAGGAACACCAGUGGCGAAGGCGGCUCUCUGGACUGUAACUGACACUGAGGCGCGAAAGCGUGGGGAGCAAACAGGAUUAGAUACCCUGGUAGUCCACGCCGUAAACGAUGAGUGCUAGGUGUUGGUGGUAUCGACCCCACCAGUGCCGCAGUUAACACAAUAAGCACUCCGCCUGGGGAGUACGGUGGCAACACUGAAACUCAAAGGAAUUGACGGGGGCCCGCACAAGCGGUGGAGUAUGUGGUUUAAUUCGACGCAACGCGAAGAACCUUACCAGGGCUUGACAUCCUCUGAAAGCUAUAGAGAUAUAGUGAUUAUCCUUCGGGGUAACAGAGAGACAGGUGGUGCAUGGUUGUCCUUCACCUCUGGUCUUGAGAAUUUGGGGUUAAUUCCGGAACAGUUUUCAACCCCCCAAAAAAUAUAUUUUGCCCACCAGGGUAAAAUCCGGGGAACUUUUAAUGUGGAAUUGUCCGUUUGAAAAAAAACCGGAAAGAAAAGGGGGGGGGAAAAAAAAAUCAAAAAAACUUUCCUUGUCCCCCCCUUUUUUUUUUCUUGGGGGGCCUAACACAACACCUAUUCUCCAUAAAAAAAGGUUGGCCGCGCGGGGAAACAAAAAAAAAAGAAAAGAAAAGAACACAAAAAAAAACCCCC
Molecule: non-coding RNA, 1393 nt
Filed under: Desulforamulus hydrothermalis Lam5 = DSM 18033
Lineage: Bacteria; Bacillati; Bacillota; Clostridia; Eubacteriales; Peptococcaceae
Description: Desulfotomaculum hydrothermale Lam5 = DSM 18033 Bacterial small subunit ribosomal RNA
Rfam family: Bacterial small subunit ribosomal RNA
Source: Rfam by way of RNAcentral